RNAcentral lists this ribosomal RNA (253 nucleotides) under uncultured bacterium. RNAcentral's name for it is "partial 16S ribosomal RNA". It matches the Rfam family "Bacterial small subunit ribosomal RNA", at positions 524 to 776 of the family's 1533-position model. The record is from RNAcentral.
UACGAAGGGGGCUAGAGUUGUUCGGAAUCACUGGGCGUAAAGCGCACGUAGGCGGAUUUGUUAGUCAGGGGUGAAAUCCCGGAGCUCAACUCCGGAACUGCCUUUGAUACUGCAAGUCUCGAGUCCGAUAGAGGUGGGUGGAAUUCCUAGUGUAGAGGUGAAAUUCGUAGAUAUUAGGAAGAACACCGGUGGCGAAGGCGGCCCACUGGAUCGGUACUGACGCUGAGGUGCGAAAGCGUGGGGAGCAAACAGG